Molecule: ribosomal RNA, 465 nt
Filed under: Penicillium sp.
Lineage: Eukaryota; Fungi; Ascomycota; Eurotiomycetes; Eurotiales; Aspergillaceae
Description: SSU rRNA
Rfam family: Eukaryotic small subunit ribosomal RNA
Source: RNAcentral
UAAAGCUCGUAGUUGACCUUGGGUCUGGCUGGCCGGUCCGCCUCACCGCGAGUACUGGUCCGGCUGGACCUUUCCUUCUGGGGAACCUCAUGGCCUUCACUGGCUGUGGGGGGAACCAGGACUUUUACUGUGAAAAAAUUAGAGUGUUCAAAGCAGGCCUUUGCUCGAAUACAUUAGCAUGGAAUAAUAGAAUAGGACGUGCGGUUCUAUUUUGUUGGUUUCUAGGACCGCCGUAAUGAUUAAUAGGGAUAGUCGGGGGCGUCAGUAUUCAGCUGUCAGAGGUGAAAUUCUUGGAUUUGCUGAAGACUAACUACUGCGAAAGCAUUCGCCAAGGAUGUUUUCAUUAAUCAGGGAACGAAAGUUAGGGGAUCGAAGACGAUCAGAUACCGUCGUAGUCUUAACCAUAAACUAUGCCGACUAGGGAUCGGGCGGGAUUCUAUGAUGACCCGUUCGGCACCUUUCCAG